This 250-nucleotide ribosomal RNA is filed under the name uncultured bacterium. RNAcentral's name for it is "partial 16S ribosomal RNA". It matches the Rfam family "Bacterial small subunit ribosomal RNA", at positions 524 to 773 of the family's 1533-position model. The record is from RNAcentral.
UACGAAGGGUGCAAGCGUUACUCGGAAUUACUGGGCGUAAAGCGUGCGUAGGCGGUUCGUUAAGUCUGCUGUGAAAGCCCUGGGCUCAACCUGGGAACUGCAGUGGAUACUGGCGAGCUAGAGUGUGUCAGAGGAUGGUGGAAUUCCCGGUGUAGCGGUGAAAUGCGUAGAGAUCGGGAGGAACGCCAGUGGCGAAGGCGGCCAUCUGGGACAACACUGACGCUGAGGCACGAAAGCGUGGGGAGCAAAC